UACGAAGGGGGCUAGCGUUGUUCGGAAUUACUGGGCGUAAAGCGCACGUAGGCGGAUACUUAAGUUAGGGGUGAAAUCCCGAGGCUCAACCUCGGAACUGCCUCUAAUACUGGGUAUCUCGAGUUCGAGAGAGGUGAGUGGAAUUCCGAGUGUAGAGGUGAAAUUCGUAGAUAUUCGGAGGAACACCAGUGGCGAAGGCGGCUCACUGGCUCGAUACUGACGCUGAGGUGCGAAAGCGUGGGGAGCAAACAGG
Molecule: ribosomal RNA, 253 nt
Filed under: uncultured bacterium
Lineage: Bacteria
Description: partial 16S ribosomal RNA
Rfam family: Bacterial small subunit ribosomal RNA
Source: RNAcentral